AGCGAACGCUGGCGGCGUGCCUAACACAUGCAAGUCGAACGGGAAAGGGAGCAAUCCCAAGUAAAGUGGCGUACGGGUGAGUAACACGUAGGUAAUCUACCCCAGAAUCUGGAAUAACCGGCCGAAAGGCUGGCUAAUACAGGAUAGAGCGACGGAAUCCGCAACUGGGUUUUUCGGGAAAGGGAGCCUGUAAAAAGGCUUUCGUUCUGGGAUGAGCCUGCGUCCCAUCAGCUAGUUGGUGAGGUAAAAGCUUACCAAGGCAAUGACGGGUAGCUGGUCUGAGAGGACGGGCAGCCAGACUGGGAGUGUGACACGGUCCAGUCGCCUACGGGUGGCAGCCGUACUGAAUCUUGCGCAAUGAGCGAGAGUCUGAGGCAGCAGCGCCGCGUGAGUAAAGAAGGCCGUCGGGUUGUGGAGCUCUGUCGAGUGGGAGGAAAAUGCUUGGAGUUCACAGCUACAGGGACUGACGGUACCACGAAAGGAAGCACCGGCUAACUCCGUG
Molecule: ribosomal RNA, 502 nt
Filed under: uncultured bacterium
Lineage: Bacteria
Description: partial 16S ribosomal RNA
Rfam family: Bacterial small subunit ribosomal RNA
Source: RNAcentral